GAUGAACGCUGGCGGCGUGCUUAACACAUGCAAGUCGAGCGAGAAGUUUUGAAAAGAUUCUUCGGAUGAAAUUUAAAAUGGAAAGCGGCGGACGGGUGAGUAACGCGUAGGCAACCUGCCCCAUACAAAGGGAUAGCAUUUGGAAACGAAUAUUAAUACCUUAUGAAACUUAACUAGUGCAUGCUAGGUAGGUCAAAGAUUUAUCGGUAUGGGAUGGGCCUGCGUCUGAUUAGCUAGUUGGUGAGGUAACGGCUCACCAAGGCGACGAUCAGUAGCCGACCUGAGAGGGUGACCGGCCACAUUGGAACUGAGACACGGUCAAAACUCUUCCGGGAGGAAGCAGUGGGGAAUAUUGCAAAAGGGGGGAAACCCUGAUGCAGCAACGCCGCGUGAACGAUGAAGGCCUUUGGGUCGUAAGUUCUGUUCUAGGUGAUGAAAACUGACAGUAACCUAGGAGAAAGCCCCGGCUAACUCCGUG
RNAcentral lists this ribosomal RNA (478 nucleotides) under uncultured bacterium. Its description in RNAcentral is "partial 16S ribosomal RNA". It matches the Rfam family "Bacterial small subunit ribosomal RNA", at positions 28 to 507 of the family's 1533-position model. The record is from RNAcentral.